Molecule: ribosomal RNA, 468 nt
Filed under: uncultured bacterium
Lineage: Bacteria
Description: partial 16S ribosomal RNA
Rfam family: Bacterial small subunit ribosomal RNA
Source: RNAcentral
GACGAACGCUGGCGGCGUGCUUAACACAUGCGAGUCGAACGGAAAGGCCCUGCUUUUGUGGGGUGCUCGAGUGGCGAACGGGUGAGUAACACGUGAGUAACCUGCCCUUGACUUUGGGAUAACUUCAGGAAACUGGAGCUAAUACCGGAUAGGAGCUCCUGCUGCAUGGUGGGGGUUGGAAAGUUUCGGCGGUUGGGGAUGGACGCGCGGCUGAUGAGCUUGUUGGUGGGGGAGGGGCUUACCAAGGCUUUGACGGGUAGCCGGCCUGGGAGGGUGACCGGCCACAUUGGGACUGAGAUACGGCCCAGACUCCUACGGGAGGCAGCAGUGGGGAAUAUUGCCCAAUGGGCGCAAGCCUGAUGCAGCAACGCCGCGUGCGGGAUGACGGCCUUCGGGUUGUAAACCGCUUUCGCCUGUGACGAAGCGUGAGUGACGGUAAUGGGUAAAGAAGCACCGGCUAACUACGUG